Molecule: ribosomal RNA, 465 nt
Filed under: uncultured Klebsiella sp.
Lineage: Bacteria; Pseudomonadati; Pseudomonadota; Gammaproteobacteria; Enterobacterales; Enterobacteriaceae
Description: bacterial SSU rRNA
Rfam family: Bacterial small subunit ribosomal RNA
Source: RNAcentral
CCUACGGGUGGCUGCAGUGGGGAAUAUUGCACAAUGGGCGCAAGCCUGAUGCAGCCAUGCCGCGUGUGUGAAGAAGGCCUUCGGGUUGUAAAGCACUUUCAGCGGGGAGGAAGGCGUUAAGGUUAAUAACCUUGUCGAUUGACGUUACCCGCAGAAGAAGCACCGGCUAACUCCGUGCCAGCAGCCGCGGUAAUACGGAGGGUGCAAGCGUUAAUCGGAAUUACUGGGCGUAAAGCGCACGCAGGCGGUCUGUCAAGUCGGAUGUGAAAUCCCCGGGCUCAACCUGGGAACUGCAUUCGAAACUGGCAGGCUAGAGUCUUGUAGAGGGGGGUAGAAUUCCAGGGGUAGCGGUGAAAUGCGUAGAGAUCUGGAGGAAUACCGGUGGCGAAGGCGGCCCCCUGGACAAAGACUGACGCUCAGGUGCGAAAGCGUGGGGAGCAAACAGGAUUAGAUACCCGUGUAGUC